RNAcentral lists this ribosomal RNA (450 nucleotides) under uncultured bacterium. Its description in RNAcentral is "partial 16S ribosomal RNA". It matches the Rfam family "Bacterial small subunit ribosomal RNA", at positions 354 to 796 of the family's 1533-position model. The record is from RNAcentral.
GUGGGGAAUAUUGGACAAUGGGCGAAAGCCUGAUCCAGCCAUGCUGCGUGUGUGAAGAAGGUCUUCGGAUUGUAAAGCACUUUAAGUUGGGAGGAAGGGCAGUAAGUUAAUACCUUGCUGUUUUGACGUUACCGACAGAAUAAGCACCGGCUAACUUCGUGCCAGCAGCCGCGGUAAUACGAAGGGUGCAAGCGUUAAUCGGAAUUACUGGGCGUAAAGCGCGCGUAGGUGGUUUUGUAAGUUGGAGGUGAAAUCCCCGGGCUCAACCUGGGAGCUGCCUCCGAAACUGCAUGACUAGAGUACGGUAGAGGGUAGGGGAAUUUCCUGUGUAGCGGUGAAAUGCGUAGAUAUAGGAAGGAACACCAGUGGCGAGGGCGACUACCUGGACUGAUACUGACACUGAGGUGCGAAAGCGUGGGGAGCAAACAGAAUUAGAUAGCCUGGUAGUCC